Molecule: ribosomal RNA, 449 nt
Filed under: uncultured bacterium
Lineage: Bacteria
Description: partial 16S ribosomal RNA
Rfam family: Bacterial small subunit ribosomal RNA
Source: RNAcentral
AACGAACGCUGGCGGCAUGCCUAACACAUGCAAGUCGAACGAGAUCUUCGGGUCUAGUGGCGCACGGGUGCGUAACGCGUGGGAAUCUGCCCUUUGGUCCGGAAUAACAGUUGGAAACGACUGCUAAUACCGGAUGAUGACGAAAGUCCAAAGAUUUAUCGCCAGAGGAUGAGCCCGCGUAGGAUUAGCUAGUUGGUGUGGUAAAGGCGCACCAAGGCGACGAUCCUUAGCUGGUCUGAGAGGAUGAUCAGCCGCACUGGGACUAAGACACGGCCCAGACUCCUACGGGAGGCAGCAGUGGGGAAUAUUGGACAAUGGGCGAAAGCCUGAUCCAGCAAUGCCGCGUGAGUGAUGAAGGUCUUAGGGUUGUAAAGCUCUUUUACCCGGGAUGAUAAUGACAGUACCGGGAGAAUAAGCUCCGGCUGACUCCGUGCCAGCAGCAGCCGCCG